GUUAACUCAUUAAGCACUCUCCCCUUCACAAAUAAAAUUGUCUGCUAUUAGAUAAUAAAGUAGGGUGCAUUGGGUUGCAUUGCAACUUGCAUAUAUACUGGUCAGCCCAUAGAGUGCCAGAGCUCUCCCCUUGCAUUGACAAGUAUAUUUGUCUGGCAUUUGACAGUAAAAUUAUAUGGUGCAUUGCCACUUAUCAAAAGGGAUAAUAGGG
This is a non-coding RNA of Paramuricea clavata, 211 nucleotides long. Lineage: Eukaryota; Metazoa; Cnidaria; Anthozoa; Malacalcyonacea; Plexauridae. The record is from the annotation of a GenBank genome assembly.